GGCCCGUGCAGCCCACGUCUCCGUCCGCCCCGUCCCUAUGUUCGUCUUCCGCGUCCACCCAGCUAGUUGCAACCCAGAAAUCUCCGGCGCAGCCCCAACCCUCUCGAGAAGCGAUCGAUCGCCCGCUGUGCGCGCCAUGUCGUCGCUCGCCGUCGGCCGCGGGCCGGAGAGUGAGCUGUACUGGCUCGGGGGCCUCUUCACGGCCGCGGAGCUCGCCGCCGCCGACCUGCUGCUAAAGCUACGCGGUGACGACGAUGAGGCGGCGGCGGCGUCCGCCGACACGUCAUCAUACUCGCGGCGGUUCCCGAGCUCCCGCCGCGAGGACCUCGCCGUGGUCGACCAGGAGACGGAGGAGGAGCGGGCCUUCGAGGACGCCGCGACGGCGUCUGCGGCCACGCCGUUCUCCUCGAGGCGGUCUGCGAGCUCGUGCUGCCAGGUCCCCGUGAAGGCCGAGGAGGAGCCUCGGCCGAUCCUCAAGGAGACGGCGCCGUCGCUGCUGGGGUCGAUGGAGCUCGACAGGAGGGCGAGGAAGAGGUACCGCCUGUUGUCUGAGUUGUACGCCGCCACGGCCCCGGUGACAUCAUCUUCCGCCUCCGCGGAGAAGAUACGGAAGGUACACGGCGACCACGGCGCCGGCACCGUCGAGUCGUCGGUGGACCAGGCGACGAGGAAUGGCGAGGGACUAGUAGCACAGAAGGGCUUCUAUGUAAUUACAACACCGUGAUCUUAGCGUUGUUUCGCCUCCUCAGCUAUACAGUACUUAGUACUCCCUCCGGUCCUUUUUACUCUGCAUAUUAGGUUUGUCUGAAGUCAAUCUCAUCCAACUUUGACCAAGUUUAUAUAAAAAAUUAUAGACAUUCACAUAACAACACCAAUAUCAUUAGAUUCAUCUCGGAAUAUAUUUUCAUAUUAUAUUUAUUAAAUAUUAUAGAUGCUAAUAAUUUCUAAUAUAAAUUUGGUCAAACUUAGCAAAGUUUGACUUUCGGCAAAACCAAUGUGCAGAGUAAAAAGGACCGGAGGGAGUAGUAAUCUUCUCGGAGAAGGAACGGAAGGAAAACACACUUGUACAGGACUAAAAAAACUAAGGUGGUUACCGCCUGAAACUUUUGAAUCUGAGCUUCCAAGGUCAGGUCGCAUCCGUCCCCCAAGAAUUUGAAUUUGAAAUUUUUCUUCUCUCCUGGUACUUAUUACAUGUAAGCACACACACCA
RNAcentral lists this ribosomal RNA (1209 nucleotides) under Triticum aestivum (bread wheat). Its description in RNAcentral is "partial small subunit ribosomal RNA". The record is from RNAcentral. Lineage: Eukaryota; Viridiplantae; Streptophyta; Magnoliopsida; Poales; Poaceae.